Molecule: long non-coding RNA, 725 nt
Organism: Dreissena polymorpha
Lineage: Eukaryota; Metazoa; Mollusca; Bivalvia; Myida; Dreissenidae
Exons: 2
Source: RefSeq, a predicted model, not a curated record
CUCACAUACAUAAGGACUAAGGCAAUCUCUUUAUCUCAGUGUAUCACAUCUGUUACUUAAGUUUUAUUACUAUUGUAGUAACCAUAGUAUUUCACUUAUCUAUUGAUAUAUCUAUUUGAUUAGCAGUGCAUAAAAUGCAUGCAGUGUUAUGUCUCUGAUAUUGACAAUGAAGCAACUCUGCCCUUUCAUGUCACUCAAACAAAAGAAGGUAACUUGCUAUUAAUUUAAAGCAAGUAUUAAUAAAGUAAAAAUAUCCUAUAUCUGUUGGUUUCAGUGAGUUUGUUAGAUAUUGAAAUAGAAGUAACAUAUUGUCACUGUAUGAUAUAUAAAAUUUUACUGCAGACUUCAAAGUUCAUUAAUUACAAUAUCAUUAAACUUUAAAGUCAGAAUUGAUAAUGAGGGAUCAUUGAAGAAAUACUUUUUUAUAUUGAAACACAAUUAACAGGAAUCUGUCACUUACUGUAGCAAUCAAAGCAUGUUUUCACAGUUUAUGGGAGGGCCCUAAUUGGCACUAGUCUGUGUAUCUUUUAUGGCCCCUAAUAAACAGUUAGAGGGUCCAAUGUUUAUCUAAGUGGCCCAGUGUUACUGUUAGUUUUACAAACUGUGUUUCAUAAAUGAUGACACAAAACUGUGUCAAUGAUUUAAAACACUAAAUUGGGGCAUGAGUCUUAAUGCAACAUAAGAUCAACUUAAUUAUUUGAAUGAUAACAAAAAUAUAUAUAACA